AGUCGACGGCAGCGCGGGGCACCUGGCGGCGAGUGGCGAACGGGUGCGUAAUAUAUCGGAACGUACCCUGGAGUGGGGGAUAACGUAGCGAAAGUUACGCUAAUACCGCAUACGAUCUAAGGAUGAAAGUGGGGGAUCGCAAGACCUCAUGCUCCUGGAGCGGCCGAUAUCUGAUUAGCUAGUUGGUGGGGUAAAGGCCUACCAAGGCAUCGAUCGGUAGCUGGUCUGAGAGGACGACCAGCCACACUGGAACUGAGACACGGUCCAGACUCCUACGGGAGGCAGCAGUGGGGAAUUUUGGACAAUGGGCGCAAGCCUGAUCCAGCAAUGCCGCGUGAGUGAAGAAGGCCUUCGGGUUGUAAAGCUCUUUUGUCAGGGAAGAAACGGUGAGGGCUAAUAUCCCUUGCUAAUGACGGUACCUGAAGAAUAAGCACCGGCUAACUACGUGCCAGCAGCCGCGGUAAUACGUAGGGUGCAAGCGUUAAUCGGAAUUACUGGGCGUAAAGCGUGCGCAGGCGGUUUUGUAAGUCUGUCGUGAAAUCCCCGGGCUCAACCUGGGAAUUGCGAUGGAGACUGCAAGGCUAGAAUCUGGCAGAUGGGGGUAGAAUUCC
RNAcentral lists this ribosomal RNA (611 nucleotides) under uncultured bacterium. RNAcentral describes it as "bacterial SSU rRNA". It matches the Rfam family "Bacterial small subunit ribosomal RNA", at positions 60 to 670 of the family's 1533-position model. The record is from RNAcentral.